This 747-nucleotide ribosomal RNA is filed under the name uncultured Parvimonas sp. Its description in RNAcentral is "bacterial SSU rRNA". It matches the Rfam family "Bacterial small subunit ribosomal RNA", at positions 28 to 776 of the family's 1533-position model. Lineage: Bacteria; Bacillati; Bacillota; Tissierellia; Tissierellales; Peptoniphilaceae. The record is from RNAcentral.
GACGAACGCUGGCGGCGUGCUUAACACAUGCAAGUCGAACGUGAUUUUUGUGGAAAUUCUUUCGGGAAUGGAAGUGAAAUGAAAGUGGCGAACGGGUGAGUAACACGUGAGCAACCUACCUUACACAGGGGGAUAGCCGUUGGAAACGACGAUUAAUACCGCAUGAGACCACAGAAUCGCAUGAUAUAGGGGUCAAAGAUUUAUCGGUGUAAGAAGGGCUCGCGUCUGAUUAGCUAGUUGGAAGGGUAAAGGCCUACCAAGGCGACGAUCAGUAGCCGGUCUGAGAGGAUGAACGGCCACAUUGGAACUGAGACACGGUCCAAACUCCUACGGGAGGCAGCAGUGGGGAAUAUUGCACAAUGGGGGGAACCCUGAUGCAGCGACGCCGCGUGAGCGAAGAAGGUUUUCGAAUCGUAAAGCUCUGUCCUAUGAGAAGAUAAUGACGGUAUCAUAGGAGGAAGCCCCGGCUAAAUACGUGCCAGCAGCCGCGGUAAUACGUAUGGGGCGAGCGUUGUCCGGAAUUAUUGGGCGUAAAGGGUACGUAGGCGGCCUUUUAAGUCAGGUGUGAAAGCGUGAGGCUUAACCUCAUUAAGCACUUGAAACUGGAAGACUUGAGUGAAGGAGAGGAAAGUGGAAUUCCUAGUGUAGCGGUGAAAUGCGUAGAUAUUAGGAGGAAUACCGGUGGCGAAAGGCGACUUUCUGGACUUUUACUGACGCUCAGGUACGAAAGCGUGGGGAGCAAACAUG